AUUGAACGCUGGCGGCAUGCUUUACACAUGCAAGUCGAACGGUAACAGGGAGCUUGCUCCGCUGACGAGUGGCGAACGGGUGAGUAAUGCAUCGGAACGUACCCAGUCGUGGGGGAUAACGUAGCGAAAGUUACGCUAAUACCGCAUACGUCCUGAGGGAGAAAGCGGGGGACCGUAAGGCCUCGCGCGAUUGGGGCGGCCGAUGUCGGAUUAGCUAGUUGGUAGGGUAAAGGCCUACCAAGGCGACGAUCCGUAGCGGGUCUGAGAGGAUGAUCCGCCACACUGGGACUGAGACACGGCCCAGACUCCUACGGGAGGCAGCAGUGGGGAAUUUUUGGACAAUGGGCGAAAGCCUGAUCCAGCCAUUCCGCGUGAGUGAAGAAGGCCUCGGUUGU
This 395-nucleotide ribosomal RNA is filed under the name uncultured bacterium. Its description in RNAcentral is "bacterial SSU rRNA". It matches the Rfam family "Bacterial small subunit ribosomal RNA", at positions 30 to 426 of the family's 1533-position model. The record is from RNAcentral.